Molecule: long non-coding RNA, 1000 nt
Filed under: Nicotiana benthamiana
Lineage: Eukaryota; Viridiplantae; Streptophyta; Magnoliopsida; Solanales; Solanaceae
Description: long non-coding RNA (NBEN_LNC008000)
Source: RNAcentral
UAAAAAAUCUGGAAGGAUUAGAGAGCUAAGAAUCUGAAAACACAAAUGGCUGCAAAAUCUAUUGUUUCGUUGGAUUUUCUGAGUGAUUUUUAGUUUUCUCUUUAUUCAUUGAAAUACUUUUGAGUGGUCUCAAAUUUUUCAGUCCCAAAUCCCAUAAGAAAACUAUUUUUCUUUGAUUCCAGUUUUAGAUUAGCUUGCUGCAUUCAAACACACAAAAUACCAAAAAACAUAUGUAUUCAGAAUUAAAAAAACAAAAAAAAUAUGAUCAAACUGAAAAACAAACACUGGUCCAUUUGAUUUUGUGUCUGAAUUUUAGUUUGGUAACUAAAUCACAUUCCUGAAGUUCAUUUUGGCAUUUUGAAGAUCAAGGGAAAUUUCUGUUGGGUUUCUACUAAUCUAGGUUUCGUUUGAUCUGUCCUAGUCUUUCUAUUUGGCUUUUCUGAUUGCCAAAGUUGUCUCUGAAGUGCACUGUGGUGAUAGUUUUGAGGUUAUUAUUGUUGUUGGUUUUCCUACGAUUUUCUGGGUUGUUGCAUAUUUCUGGGAUGUGUUUUGAGUUCUGUUAGUGGUUGUUGCUGACUGCUUCUACUUCUUCUUCGAUUUGAAUUCCAAUUCCAGGCACACAGCUAUAACCUUGGCAAUUGUAAGCUGAAAUCAUGCCCAGCGAAUAUAUGAAGGAUUGAAAUGUGUUUUGACUGAGCUCUCUUCCUGAUUUUUGUAUUUAAACACUUAGUUCAUUGGUAUGACGUACCUUUCUGUUGGCUCUGUAAUAAUUAGACUGAAGAAAUCAUUACUACCCAAAUACAUAAUAAGUUUUUCCCUAAAGUUGCAGUUGUAGUUAAUUUCAUGACUUGAUUAACAGGAUAGUUUAGGUUAGCUUUAGUUCAUUUCUUGUCGGCUACUUCCUAAGUUUGUUUAAAUAGAACUGAGUUCAUUUGGUAGUUAUUAUCAUUUGAAUCUAUAAUUAAAUAGAAUUUGGCAGAACUGUUUUGGUCUGAGUUGG